GCAUAACGCGAAGAACCUUACCAAGGCUUGACAUACACCAGAACACUCUAGAAAUAGGGGACUCUUUGGACACUGGUGAACAGGUGGUGCAUGGUUGUCGUCAGCUCGUGUCGUGAGAUGUUGGGUUAAGUCCCGCAACGAGCGCAACCCUCGUUCUAUGUUGCCAGCACGUAAUGGUGGGAACUCAUGGGAUACUGCCGGGGUCAACUCGGAGGAAGGUGGGGAUGACGUCAAAUCAUCAUGCCCCUUAUGUCUUGGGCUUCACGCAUGCUACAAUGGCCGGUACAAAGGGCUGCAAUACCGUGAGGUGGAGCGAAUCCCAAAAAGCCGGUCCCAGUUCGGAUUGAGGUCUGCAACUCGACCUCAUGAAGUCGGAGUCGCUAGUAAUCGCAGAUCAGCAACGCUGCGGUGAAUACGUUCCCGGGUCUUGUACACACCG
RNAcentral lists this ribosomal RNA (439 nucleotides) under uncultured bacterium. Its description in RNAcentral is "bacterial SSU rRNA". It matches the Rfam family "Bacterial small subunit ribosomal RNA", at positions 954 to 1392 of the family's 1533-position model. The record is from RNAcentral.